AUUUCCCUCUUUCUUUAGGCCUAACACAUGCAAGUCGAACGGCAGCACAGUAAGAGCUUGCUCUUACGGGUGGCGAGUGGCGGACGGGUGAGGAAUACAUCGGAAUCUACUUUUUCGUGGGGGAUAACGUAGGGAAACUUACGCUAAUACCGCAUACGACCUACGGGUGAAAGCAGGGGAUCUUCGGACCUUGCGCGAUUGAAUGAGCCGAUGUCGGAUUAGCUAGUUGGCGGGGUAAAGGCCCACCAAGGCGACGAUCCGUAGCUGGUCUGAGAGGAUGAUCAGCCACACUGGAACUGAGACACGGUCCAGACUCCUACGGAAGGCAGCAGUGGGGAAUAUUGGACAAAGGGCGCAAGCCUGAUCCAGCCAUACCGCGUGGGUGAAGAAGGCCUUCGGGUUGUAAAGCCCUUUUGUUGGGAAAGAAAAGCAGCAGGUUAAUACCCCGCUGUUCUGACGGUACCCAAAGAAUAAGCACCGGCUAACUUCGUG
This 492-nucleotide ribosomal RNA is filed under the name uncultured bacterium. RNAcentral describes it as "partial 16S ribosomal RNA". It matches the Rfam family "Bacterial small subunit ribosomal RNA", at positions 36 to 507 of the family's 1533-position model. The record is from RNAcentral.